AGCGUAAUAGCUCACUAGUCGAGUCGGCCUGCGCGGAAGAUGUAACGGGGCUAAAACUAUGUGCCGAAGCUGCGGAUUUGACAUUAGUCAAGUGGUAGGGGAGCGUUCUGUAAGCCGAUGAAGGUGUAUUGAGAAGUNUAUGCUGGAGGUAUCAGAAGUGCGAAUGCUGACGUGAGUAACGACAAAACGGGUGAAAAACCCGUUCGCCGAAAGACCAAGGGUUCCAGUCCAACGUUAAUCGGGGCUGGGUGAGUCGACCCCUAAGGCGAGGCCGAAAGGCGUAGUCGAUGGGAAAAUGGUUAAUAUUCCAUUACUUCUGUGUAAUGCGAUGAGAGGACGGAGAAGGCUAAAUCAGCCUGGCGUUGGUUGUCCAGGUGAAAGGAUGUAGGCAUGUAUCUUAGGCAAAUCCGGGGUACUCUAUGCUGAGAUCUGAUAGCAAGCUGUACUUGUACAGCGAAGUGGUUGAUGCCAUGCUUCCAGGAAAAGUCUCUAAGCUUCAGUUACACAGGAAUCGUACCCGAAACCGACACAGGUGGUCAGGUCGAGUAGACCAAGGCGCUUGAGAGAACUCUGCUGAAGGAACUAGGCAAAAUGGUACCGUAACUUCGGGAGAAGGUACGCUGUUGUUGGUGAUGGAACUCGCUUCCUGAGCUGACGACAGCCGCAGAAACCAGGCCGCUGCAACUGUUUAUUAAAAACAUAGCACUCUGCAAACACGAAAGUGGACGUAUAGGGUGUGAUGCCUGCCCGGUGCUGGAAGGUUAAUUGAUGGGGUUAGCGUAAGCGAAGCUCUUGAUCGAAGCCCCAGUAAACGGCGGCCGUAACUAUAACGGUCCUAAGGUAGCGAAAUUCCUUGUCGGGUAAGUUCCGACCUGCACGAAUGGCAUAAUGAUGGCGGCGCUGUCUCCAGCAGAGGCUCAGUGAAAUCGAAAUCGCUGUGAAGAUGCAGUGUACCCGCGGCUAGACGGAAAGACCCCGUGAACCUUUACUGCAGCUUGACACUGAACUUUGACCUUACUUGUGUAGGAUAGGUGGGAGGCUUUGAAGCUGGAACGCUAGUUCCAGUGGAGCCGUCCUUGAAAUACCACCCUGGUAAUGUUGAGGUUCUAACUCUGUCCCGUGAUCCGGGACGAGGACCGUGUCUGGUGGGUAGUUUGACUGGGGCGGUCUCCUCCUAAAGAGUAACGGAGGAGUACGAAGGUGCGCUCAGCGUGGUCGGAAAUCACGCGUAGAGUAUAAAGGCAAAAGCGCGCUUAACUGCGAGACCCACAAGUCGAGCAGGUACGAAAGUAGGUCUUAGUGAUCCGGUGGUUCUGUAUGGAAGGGCCAUCGCUCAACGGAUAAAAGGUACUCUGGGGAUAACAGGCUGAUACCGCCCAAGAGUUCAUAUCGACGGCGGUGUUUGGCACCUCGAUGUCGGCUCAUCUCAUCCUGGGGCUGAAGCAGGUCCCAAGGGUAUGGCUGUUCGCCAUUUAAAGAGGUACGCGAGCUGGGUUUAGAACGUCGUGAGACAGUUCGGUCCCUAUCUACCGUGGGCGCUGGAAAUUUGAGAGGAUCUGCUCCUAGUACGAGAGGACCAGAGUGGACGAACCUCUGGUGUACCGGUUGUGACGCCAGUCGCAUCGCCGGGUAGCUAUGUUCGGAAGGGAUAACCGCUGAAAGCAUCUAAGCGGGAAGCCUACCUCAAGAUAAGAUUUCCCUAGGACUUUAUGUCCUCUAAAGAGCCGUUCGAGACUAGGACGUUGAUAGGUUGGAUGUGGAAGCAUAGUGAUAUGUGAAGCUGACCAAUACUAAUUGCUCGUGAGGCUUGACUAUACAACACCCAAGCAGUUG
This 1833-nucleotide ribosomal RNA is filed under the name Acinetobacter baumannii. RNAcentral describes it as "partial 23S ribosomal RNA". It matches the Rfam family "Bacterial large subunit ribosomal RNA", at positions 1131 to 2925 of the family's 2925-position model. The record is from RNAcentral. Lineage: Bacteria; Pseudomonadati; Pseudomonadota; Gammaproteobacteria; Moraxellales; Moraxellaceae.